Molecule: ribosomal RNA, 192 nt
Filed under: Bacillus sp. K17T
Lineage: Bacteria; Bacillati; Bacillota; Bacilli; Caryophanales; Bacillaceae
Description: partial 16S ribosomal RNA
Rfam family: Bacterial small subunit ribosomal RNA
Source: RNAcentral
GACGAACGCUGGCGGCGUGCCUAAUACAUGCAAGUCGAGCGAAUCAAUAGGAGCUUGCUCCUGUUGGUUAGCGGCGGACGGGUGAGUAACACGUGGGCAACCUGCCUGUAAGACUGGGAUAACACCGGGAAACCGGUGCUAAUACCGGAUAAUCCUUUUCCUCUCAUGAGGAAAAGCUGAAAGUCGGUUUUU